Molecule: ribosomal RNA, 30 nt
Filed under: Verticillium dahliae
Lineage: Eukaryota; Fungi; Ascomycota; Sordariomycetes; Glomerellales; Plectosphaerellaceae
Description: partial large subunit ribosomal RNA
Source: RNAcentral
AUAUAAACUCUAAGAGAAAUCAGUUAGUUA